Molecule: ribosomal RNA, 35 nt
Filed under: Platanthera dilatata var. dilatata
Lineage: Eukaryota; Viridiplantae; Streptophyta; Magnoliopsida; Asparagales; Orchidaceae
Description: partial 26S ribosomal RNA
Source: RNAcentral
GCGACCCCAGGAUGGGCGGGAUGACCCGCUGAGUU